AUUGAACGCUGGCGGCGUGCCUAAUACAUGCAAGUCGAACGGAGUGGCGCACGGGUGAGAAAUAUAUAGCUAAUCUGCCCCUUGCUGGAGGACAACCGUCAGAAAUGACUGCUAAUACUCCAUAGCAAGGGAUGAGACGAUAUCGUAUCAGCUAGUCGGUGGGGUAACGGCCUACCGAGGGUAUGACGCGUAACUGGUCUGAGAGGAUGAUCAGUAAAAUUGUAAGUGAGACAGGGUCGAAAAUCAUACGAGAGGGAGCAGUAGGGAGUAGUGCCCAAUGGGGGAAAACCUGACGCAGCAUCGCCGCGUGGAGGAUGACAAUUUUCGGAGAGUAAACUCAUGUUGUUAGGGAAGCGUUACCUAACGAAUAAGCACCGGCUAACUCCGUGCCAGCCGCCGCGGUAAUAC
RNAcentral lists this ribosomal RNA (408 nucleotides) under uncultured bacterium. RNAcentral describes it as "partial 16S ribosomal RNA". It matches the Rfam family "Bacterial small subunit ribosomal RNA", at positions 30 to 526 of the family's 1533-position model. The record is from RNAcentral.